UGAAGAUCUGGUUCCCGUACAAUCACCGAAGUUAAGCUACGUCGAACCUAGCCAGUACUUAGAUGGGUGACCGCUUUGAAAUACUAGAUGCUGUAU
This is a non-coding RNA of Acanthosepion pharaonis, 96 nucleotides long. The record is from the annotation of a GenBank genome assembly. Lineage: Eukaryota; Metazoa; Mollusca; Cephalopoda; Sepiida; Sepiidae.